AAAGGAAACCAUUCAGAGCAAUAGAAGAAGAAGAAGAAAAAUGUCGACGGUGAAGAAGAUGGCGGUUGCUCUGUUGGUUCUGUGUGCGGUGUUUUCUUGUAUGGAGAAGGUGGUAGAUUCUGUUGGAGUUGACUGCUAUGAUGCUUGCAACACUGGCUGUGUUCAAAGCAACACGAGACUUUAUCAACGAUGUGAUCGCAAGUGCCGGAUUAGGUGCGGUCCAGAUUCUGAAGUUGAGGGGAACCUAGAGUAAAAGCCAAAGAAAAUUGGGGAGCACAUCAGAAAGAUCAUAGAAAACAAUAUGUAAUUUAUGCACCUUUUUCUCUUCCUUUAAAAUAAUAAUAAUAAUGGAAGUGACUUAUGCACUUAAAGAAAGUAUGUUAUUUAUUUUAAAUUAUGUCUUUUAUAGUAGUUAUGAACUUCAUCCA
This is a long non-coding RNA of Prunus avium (sweet cherry), 428 nucleotides long. RefSeq lists it as uncharacterized. Lineage: Eukaryota; Viridiplantae; Streptophyta; Magnoliopsida; Rosales; Rosaceae. The record is from RefSeq and is a predicted model, not a curated record.